Long non-coding RNA from Bombus pyrosoma, 3627 nucleotides. RefSeq lists it as uncharacterized. The transcript has 3 exons. NCBI's taxonomy places the organism in Eukaryota, Metazoa, Arthropoda, Insecta, Hymenoptera, Apidae. The record is from RefSeq and is a predicted model, not a curated record.
AUAAACCGGAUAUCGCGUGACUUUUCUCCUCGUCGUGCACGUCUUUCUCUUCGGGACGACGUCGAUACGUUUCGACGCCGCACUUUCGAAAUUUCCAAUCGUUCUAAUUGGUGGAGAGCGAAGAGUACGAUUUCUAUCAAUAACUCCGAGAACGUGCGGUCUAUCCACGGCUAUAGUUACGUCCUACUUUUUAUUUAAAUGGCAACUGCGCAGCCUGAUAGGGAUGAACGUCGAUGAAAGUUUGAUGAGAGACCCGUCAUAGGGCGGUUGCGAAACGAUUAAAGUUUCACCGGAUUCCGCUCACUGAUUCUCCGCUUUCGUGAUUCAUGGGUACGCGUCCGACCGAAGAUGCGCCCUACGGACGCGAAUCAUUCGUUUUAGACGCUUGUUAAUAUCGAUUUGGGAAAAUUGGCCUCGACGAAGGUAAACGACGAUAAAUGGCUGAAAUAUGGAUUUUGGGAUAUCGUUCAAGGUGUUUUCUAAAUCACCGGUCUUUGUUACAGUCGUUUGAUAUUUCCAGCACGAGCAGAUGCAUUGGUAUUAAGCAUUUCGCGUAUCAUUCGUCGUACAUGACCAUGACGCAAAAUAGCAACCGAUUGUUGACAGAAUCUCAUCCGACUCGAUUCGUUGUCGAAUCGAGCUAAAAAAUGACCAUUCCGAUCGAGAAGGUGGAACGCGUGAAAGAAAUGUUCACCAUCGUCGCUGUAACGAAAUAUCCGCUAAAUCAGAAAACUGCUCGUUUGAAGAACCGUCGAGUUCCACAUGUACAAACAUUUCGCGACUAGUUGGAGCGUUUCGAACAAACAACAGGCUCAUGCACGAUUUCAAGCAUCCGCAACGUUCGAACAACGCGAAUGUCCCCGCUAUACCCAGAGGAUACAACGACUACUUCGAAUAGUAAACACAUUACCGGCGCCCUUGCUGGUCCGCGUGAUUUCCAGUGCAUAUCGCUCUUUGUACGCUCUUUGUGCGCUCUUUGUGCUUUAGUAACGUACGAAUUUUGUCUCUAGUUUGUUUGUCUCACGCGAUGGUACCAAGCCACCACGAGUUACGCCGAGAACGAUCACUGGGUCUCUAUGACAUUUUAAAAUGAAAAAUCCGACGAGAAGUGCAAAGAACCACCGUUAUUUUUCAUGAAAAUGUGCUCUGUGUUUGCUAUUUAAAACGAUUCGUUGUAUUCUUCCGUGUUGUAAUUCAAAUUUAUUAGUUGCGAGACUAAAGGAACGAUACGUUCAAGAGAUGGAAUCCAUGUUUUCAAAAUGAUUUGAUUUUCACUACUUCGAUUUUCAAUUCGCUGACACCUCGAUCCAUUUUUCCAACGUUUGCUUCGUGCGAUUAAACAAUGCUGAUUUUUCUCCCCUUCGAGAAUCUAAUACUCGAAACGUCCAACGUGAAUGGAACAUGGCCAAUAGGGGAAAAUCUCAUACAUUUUGAGCUAAAAAAAAAAAGUCAAAUUCCCUUCGUGAAACGUGGGCCGAAACGCGGCCGCGAUUUAUUGCCUUGGCACGAGGCAAUCGUAAUAUGGGGUCGAGCAAUAUCGGAUCAAGCCUCGACUGAGUAAUUAACGCAAAUCGGAAAAAAAGACGAUACCUUCGAGUCGGAAUCGACAAAGUCUAAUUGGUCACUUUCAUCGACAAAUUAUCGCGGAUAAAGAAUAGAUCGACGAAGAAUCGAUCAUUGGUACUACAAACCCGAGCGGAGGAUGAGGAAGCUUUCGAUUUAAAUUCGAUUUCACAUUUAUACAUUCGCGUGUAGUUUAAACGGGAAACUUGUGUAGAAACUCGUUUCAUUUCUCGUUCUCGUUUAUAACAUUCCCAUCCCUCGACGCAUCCAUUGCUGGAUCUUCAAAUUUCCAGCCAAAACUUUCAACAAGUUCUGAUAUUUGCAUUCCUUAAGUGAACGAAUCGCAGAGUCGGUAGCUUCUCGAUCUUCCACAGCUAUUUUCCUGAGAAAUCAAUUUUUCUGAAAAAAGAUCUCCAUUCGAAAGCAAAGAUGCUGGCCACGAAAGUCGAGGCAAAGAAACGAGACGAAGAAUGUUGUUUGUUCGGAGAAGAUUCGUGAUUCGAGGCGAUCGGUGUGCAGUAGUCAUUGGAAAUACGUCGUAAUGUUCUCUCGACAAACAAGAUUCAGCUCGAUCGUAUACGUGGCGCACAGACGGACGACGCUAUGAUUUCUCUUGCUCGUAAUUGAACGAUCGAACAACGUGUAUGGCUUUCAUCGUUGAUCGCAACGAAGGAUGUCCUUAGGACGUGUUUUCGUCCGUGACACGUGCUUCUGUCCAAGUCCAAUGGAUAAAGCGAAUCGCACGCGUUUGGAAUGAAAUCCUCUGUUUUAGACUUAAACCGACGUUUAUCGUAGGCUCGAUAAAUCGGUUUCGUUGGAUCUUGCGGCAAGACUGGAUCGGAGAUUGGUUAAACUCGUUUAGAGUUUAACAGAUAGCCGCUCAUUGGAGAGAACGAAUGGUACGAGAGAGUCGUGCUAGCAAAGCUUGGACAAGAAAAGUUGGAGAACUUAGCGGAAUAUAGCUAUACGAUUCAGUUUGCUACGUAUUAGGCGCCAUAGGCCGUUCACGAUGUUUGGAAUCGACAUCGCGGUACAACAAAGGCUCAACGAGGGUCGAUCGUGUAAUCGAGAACAGAUAGGGCGGCACUGGUUUCAACGCGAACUCCAGAUGAUCGAUCAGGUCGAACGGGCUACAUGGCGAAUUUUAUGCUUUUAACUUAACCACAUACAAUACCACGGCCACUCACGGAAAUUUAACAUUCAACUGUAUCGAGUUUGAAAAAUACACCCACGAUUUAUCAUCGGCGAUAAUUCAACGACGUUGCAGCGACAAACGGCUGGUUUGCCCCUUUUCUCUUUUUUAUUGUUACGAGCGUUUCGAUAUCCGGACAAAAAGCGAGACAAGCUAGAGAAAAGGCGAGAGCAGACGGUCGAAAGCCGAUCGACUCGUCGUUAAACGAAACUAUUUAUUUUUAUUUCCCCGCGGCCAGACGGCGAAUCCCUUUAUCGUAGAAUCCUCUUACGGACUCCAAUUCUGAAAUACAGCCUCGAAACCGGACCACUACAUGCUCCAUUUCGCCCUGUUAUUCUCAAAAGCUUCUCGUUUACCUUAUCUUCCGAUUUCAAGUCCAGUCUGUCUUGUAUUUCCUCCGAUUGUUCCCUGUGUAUCGAGAAUUUCCCGAAUCGUUCGACCAGCUAUUCCAACACAGAUCAUGACCAAUGAUUGCGUCAAAAUAUUUGUAGCGGCACAUAAAUUAGAGGACAAUUCAAAUCAUGUUGUUGUUUUCCUCGGAGUAUCAAGAUCGUUAGGAUACACGUAAUGUAAGAAUAAAUAAACUCCGAGCAAAGCAAUGUACCGUUGAACAAAGACGAAUUUGAAUCUUCCGACUCUCCCCCGACCAUUAUAAAUAAGCGGACGCAAUCGUAAGGAAAUGAGUUACAGUCAGUUGUCGCUCAGUUAUUAACCAGUUAUUAACGAAUUAUCAGCGAUCUAGUUAACGAGCCAUUAACGAUCUUAUUUUACGACUUAUACACUGUCUUAGCGAAUCGGUUAGUACGAGCGUCUUUGCGAACAUUAUCUGUAUAAUAAUUUAUCAUUUUAAAUAUAUUGGACAGUUUCAACAA